Molecule: unclassified non-coding RNA, 137 nt
Filed under: soil metagenome
Description: partial internal transcribed spacer 1
Source: RNAcentral
CAGAGUUGCAAAACUCCCAACCCUUUGUGAACGUACUGAAAAGUUGCUUCGGCGGGAGGCUCCUCAGGGAGCGGACCGCCGGAGGAAUCCAAACUCUUGUUUUAUUGGAAUCUUCUGAGUAGCUAUACAAUAAGUCA